Long non-coding RNA from Pyrus x bretschneideri (Chinese white pear), 423 nucleotides. RefSeq lists it as uncharacterized. The transcript is spliced from 3 exons. NCBI's taxonomy places the organism in Eukaryota, Viridiplantae, Streptophyta, Magnoliopsida, Rosales, Rosaceae. The record is from RefSeq and is a predicted model, not a curated record.
GAAAGGGACGAAAAUCAUUCACGCCCUCCAACAGUUCCAGACUCUGAUUGUGCACCGCCAACUCGCGAACCAAGUGCUAUUUCAGCACCUGCAGGAGAUGAACGAAGCGAGAUGGGUCCUUUGGUCCGAAAGAGUUUCAGCAGCUAGGCAGUUGCAACACACGUUAAGUACUUCCAUGUGCCUCCUUAUGCUGGGAUUUUGUUAGACAGUUCAACAUUGUCGUACAAAACGAAGGAGACGUCAUUAACGGAGUUACAGAUUUGGGUGUCUUUAGUGAAACAAAACCGGAUUGUUUUAACUUUGUAUAGUUGUAAACAUAAAACAAUCUCUGGGAUAGAGCCAUAGCUUUUGAAAGACAAUCCUUAAGGAUGGCAUACCAACAUUCCCAAUUUUUUCCAUGUAACAUAUGAACGUAAAUAGCAC